RNAcentral lists this ribosomal RNA (442 nucleotides) under uncultured bacterium. RNAcentral's name for it is "bacterial SSU rRNA". It matches the Rfam family "Bacterial small subunit ribosomal RNA", at positions 28 to 505 of the family's 1533-position model. The record is from RNAcentral.
GAUGAACGCUGGCGGCGUGGAUAAGGCAUGCAAGUCAAACGAUCCUUGUAUUUAUAUAAGGGUAGUGGCAAACGGGGUAGUAACAGGUAGGAACAUACCCAUGAGUCGUGAAUAACUGCGAGAAAUCGUAGCUAAUACACGAUAUCCCUCCGGGGGAAAGAUUUAUCGCUCAUGGAAUGGCCUGCUUCGUAUCAGCUAGUUGGUAAGGUAAAAGCUUACCAAGGCUACGACGCGUAGGGGAGGUGAGAGCCUGACCCCCACCAUUGGAACUGCGACACGGUCCAAACUCCUACGGGAGGCUGCAGUCGAGAAUCUUCCGCAAUGCACGAAAGUGUGACGGAGCGACGCCGCGUGAUGGAUGAAGUACCUAGGUAUGUAAACAUCUUUUAUAGGUGAGGAAUUAUAUUGACGUUAACCUAUGAAUAAGAGGUUCCUAAACUCG